GAGUUUGAUCUUGGCUCAGAUUGAACGCUGGCGGCAUGCCUUACACAUGCAAGUCGAACGGCAGCACGGGAGCUUGCUCCUGGUGGGCGAGUGGCGAACGGGUGAGUAAUGCAUCGGAACGUAUCCUGGAGUGGGGGAUAACGUAGCGAAAGUUACGCUAAUACCGCAUAUUCUGUGAGCAGGAAAGCGGGGGACCUUCGGGCCUCGCGCUCUUGGAGCGGCCGAUGUCGGAUUAGCUAGUUGGUGAGGUAAAGGCUCACCAAGGCGACGAUCCGUAGCAGGUCUGAGAGGAUGAUCUGCCACACUGGAACUGAGACACGGUCCAGACUCCUACGGGAGGCAGCAGUGGGAAUUUUGGACAAUGGGGGCAACCCUGAUCCAGCCAUGCCGCGUGAGUGAAGAAGGCC
Molecule: ribosomal RNA, 407 nt
Filed under: bacterium enrichment culture clone ALO1_GLFRUDD03FXQTC
Lineage: Bacteria
Also listed under: 1 other name
Description: bacterial SSU rRNA
Rfam family: Bacterial small subunit ribosomal RNA
Source: RNAcentral